CCUUUCGACGGGAUCUUCCCAUAGAAUCUGUUGUUGCCCAUCUCUAAUCUGGUAAAAUUCUUAGUAAACUCAUCUGGAAGCUCACCGGAGAGAUUGUUGGCGUGCAACAGAGCAAUUUCGAGGGUUGGCACCUCCCAUAUUUCCACUGGGAAGGUUCCAGAAAAGUUGUUUUCGUAAAGUUGUAUAUUCACCAGAGACGAGCAAUUUCCAAGGCUCUUCGGAACGGUCCCGUUCAUUUUGUUCUCGAACACAAUAAGGGAGUUAAGAACACCACCGGCACAAAGAUCAGGCGGUAAUCCACCCGUGAGUUGGUUCUCGGAAACUUCAAAAUUCCA
This 335-nucleotide long non-coding RNA is filed under the name Zostera marina. Its description in RNAcentral is "long non-coding RNA (ZMAR_LNC000616)". Lineage: Eukaryota; Viridiplantae; Streptophyta; Magnoliopsida; Alismatales; Zosteraceae. The record is from RNAcentral.